UUAGCUCAGUUGGUAGAGCAGUUGACUUUUAAUCAAUUGGUCGCAGGUUCGAAUCCUGCACGACCCACCA
Molecule: transfer RNA, 70 nt
Filed under: Pantoea agglomerans
Lineage: Bacteria; Pseudomonadati; Pseudomonadota; Gammaproteobacteria; Enterobacterales; Erwiniaceae
Also listed under: 39 other names
Description: tRNA-Lys
Rfam family: tRNA
About the family: Transfer RNA (tRNA) molecules are approximately 80 nucleotides in length.
Source: RNAcentral